This 468-nucleotide ribosomal RNA is filed under the name uncultured bacterium. RNAcentral describes it as "partial 16S ribosomal RNA". It matches the Rfam family "Bacterial small subunit ribosomal RNA", at positions 28 to 507 of the family's 1533-position model. The record is from RNAcentral.
GACGAACGCUGGCGGCGUGCUUAACACAUGCAAGUCGAACGGAAAGGCCCUGCUUUUGUGGGGUGCUCGAGUGGCGAACGGGUGAGUAACACGUGAGUAACCUGCCCUUGACUUUGGGAUAACUUCAGGAAACUGGGGCUAAUACCGGCUAGGUGCUCCUGCUGCAUGGUGGGGGUCGGACAGUUUCGGCGGUUGGGGAUGGACUCGCGGCUUAUCAGCUUGUUGGUGGGGUAGUGGCUUACCAAGGCUUUGACGGGUAGCCGGCCUGAGAGGGUGACCGGCCACAUUGGGACUACGAGACGGCCCAGACGCCUACGGGAGGCAGCAGUGGGGAAUAUUGCACAAUGGGCGGAAGCCUGAUGCAGCAACGCCGCGUGCGGGAUGACGGCCUUCUGGUGGGAAACCGCUUUCGCCUGUGACGAAGCGGGAGUGACGGUAAUGGGUAAAGAAGCACCGGCUAACUACGUG